GGCAGCUGAGGGCCUGGGGGAAGGAGGCCUUGAGAUGUGCUGGAGGCUGGGCCUCUGUAGUGCUGGGCUGUGAAACCAUCCCCAGGUCCGUGAGCCAAGCCUGGAGCUCUCACAUGGUUUUCUUCAUACACAUGCACAGUCACCAUGAAACAACGUAAGAGGAAGAGUUAAAGGAAAUGGGGAAUGUUGGCCAGGAAAGAGGGUACAGUGAUCUGAGCAUACAGCUUGGCCACGGGGGCCUUCCUCCUGCCUCAGGCUCCUGCCACUGUCCCUGCAGGUAAUGUGAGAUGGCAGCCAGGCUCAGCCCUCUCCCUAACCAUAGAGAGCCAGCCAUUGCAUUCCUCUGAGAUCCUACUCCACGGUAUGCCUGGCAGGAGCCUUAGUGGUUUCUGAAGAGGACACAAAUGCUGCUGCACAAGUCAGAGGCCCACAGCUCAGCUGGACUGCCUGUUUACCAAGUGGUCUCUGAGUCACCUCCCUGUCAGCCCAGAUAAACCACAAAACAUUUAUUUUUGUAGGUUUUGCUUAUAAAUCAAGGCAAAACAGUAGACAUAAUCAUGUAAAAAGACAGAAGAACACAGACAAGUCAGUUGCCUGUGUGGAUGGCCUUUGCUUCUGUCUUCACCGUGAAGCACAAAUGAAUCUAUCUGUGAAGAAGCCUAUGAAAAUGUGGGUUCAACAAGGGACAUAGACAGCAACAACCAAACGGAGAGCAACAGUUCCUGGCUCUGCCAUUCACUUGUUCUUUGAGGUCCUUCCAUCCUGACUGAACUAUGCUGAAACCUGCUUGUUGAGCUCAUAACCUUCUCUUGUAACUCCUGUGACUGUUCGUCCAUCAAGAUUUUGUUGUUUUGCUUUUGCAGUACUGAGGCAUGAGCUUGCACAUGCUAGGCAAGUGCUCCACUAAGCUAUACCCCAGCCCUUGUCUUUUUGAGACAGGAUCUCACUAUGUAGCCCAGGCUGGCCUAAAACCUGUGAUCCUCAUGCCAUUAGAAGUAGGGUCUUACUAUGUAGCUGGACCCGGAACUUGCUAUGGUGCCCAGCCUAACCUCUGCAUCCUGAGUGCUAGGAUUACACAUGUGUACACACAUGUAUCAGGUGGAAGGCAUGAAUCAUAAUGUUCUGUAGCACAGAAGGACAACUAUGUUUUCCAUAAAUAAACUGAAAAUGUCAAAAUAGCUAACAGAUGGAAUUUUGAACAUUUUU
This 1206-nucleotide long non-coding RNA is filed under the name Cricetulus griseus (Chinese hamster). Its description in RNAcentral is "lncRNA (ENSCGRG00015033759.1)". Lineage: Eukaryota; Metazoa; Chordata; Mammalia; Rodentia; Cricetidae. The record is from RNAcentral.